Molecule: ribosomal RNA, 374 nt
Filed under: uncultured organism
Description: partial 16S ribosomal RNA
Rfam family: Bacterial small subunit ribosomal RNA
Source: RNAcentral
GUAGGUGGCAAGCGUUGUCCGGAAUUAUUGGGCGUAAAGCGCGCGCAGGUGGUUCUUUAAGUCUGAUGUGAAAGCCCCCGGCUCAACCGGGGAGGGUCAUUGGAAACUGGGGAACUUGAGUGCAGGAGAGGAAAGUGGAAUUCCACGUGUAGCGGUGAAAUGCGUAGAUAUGUGGAGGAACACCAGUGGCGAAGGCGACUUUCUGGCCUGUAACUGACACUGAGGCGCGAAAGCGUGGGGAGCAAACAGGGAUUAGAUACCCUGGUAGUCCACGCCGUAAACGAUGAGUGCUAAGUGUUGGGGGGGUUUCCCGCCCCUCAGUGCUGUAGCUAACGCAUUAAGCACUCCGCCUGGGGAGUACGGUCGCAAGACUG